Corvus hawaiiensis (hawaiian crow) is the source of this 575-nucleotide long non-coding RNA. RefSeq lists it as uncharacterized. The transcript is spliced from 2 exons. Lineage: Eukaryota; Metazoa; Chordata; Aves; Passeriformes; Corvidae. The record is from RefSeq and is a predicted model, not a curated record.
AAGGAAAAAAGCCACCGAUAUAAAAUCUCCCCAAGAGAUAACACCGGUGCCCGUCAAACACUCAAAUUUCCCAGGCCACAGUCGCCAAGAACAGUUCUAAAGUUGGAAGGCGCAAAUUUCAGGGACUCGGUUGUGCACAGAUCCCCCGGCGGGUCCUUUGAUAUGACUCUGUCAGAGACCACAGAAAAGGGAGUCGGGAGAGACGGGCACCCCCGACUCCCCUCCGCCUUCCAAGACGACCUGAGCAUAAAGACUGCCGAUGCUCAACCUAUUUACAGAGAUCCUCCACGUUGCUCCAUCAUUUUAUCUCACAAGAUUUCGCACCGCUCGUUUGCGGGAAAAGGCUGCACAUUUUCCCCAGAAUUUGGGGUCUCCCCACGGUCCUUGUGCGGAUUCGGUUGUACCGGGAGACACGAAAUUAUUUUGUCGUUUGCCUUAAAAACGGGGCAGAUGCGGGCAUUUAUUUCUAUUUUAUUUCUCGUUUAACUCAGAGGCAGCAGUGGCUGCUGCAUCCCAUCCACCCUGAAACGAGAAUUGCAAAUGGACCCGUGGCUUAGUGGUGGAGGGGGGAAAAA